CUACAAUGGCCGGUACAAAGCGUUGCAAACCUGCGAAGGGGAGGCCAAUACGCAAAAAACCGGUACUCAGUUCAGAUUGCAGUCUGCAACUCGACUGCAUGAAGCUGGAAUCGCUAGUAAUCGUGGAUCAGAACGCCACGGUGAAUACGUUCCCGGGCCUU
Molecule: ribosomal RNA, 161 nt
Filed under: uncultured Leptospiraceae bacterium
Lineage: Bacteria; Pseudomonadati; Spirochaetota; Leptospiria; Leptospirales; Leptospiraceae
Description: partial 16S ribosomal RNA
Rfam family: Bacterial small subunit ribosomal RNA
Source: RNAcentral